GGAGGAAUCCAGAACCACUGAAGGACUUCAGAAUGGAGACAGUCUGCAAACACAGAAUCCAGAGGCUCAGGGAGAAGCUUGACAUUCUGCCAGAGGAUGACGCUGGAAGGCUGUGGAUCUGAAUGCUUAAAGGGAGGUUUAUUUUUAUUCCUCCAGGACUUCCACUCGACUGCCAAAGAGUGCUGCGGAGAUGUUGCUAUCUCUACUACAACCUCGAAUCAGGAGACACCAAGAACAAGUGUUGGCCUGCCCUUCUUCAGAAGAAACCCAAGUGGUUACUUAGAGAAGAAAUAUUUGCUUGAAAUGUUGGAAGCUGCCGGUGCAGUGUAAUGGGGCUCAGCUUUUGUUUGAGAAGGCCUGGGUCCAAACUGCUAUUCAGCCUGGAAGCCCCACUGGGUAACCUUGGGCCAGUCACUAUCCUAACAAGGAAUCAAACCUCUUUUUUCCCAGAGAAGCAAGCCGGAGUGGACAGUAGCUGGUCAAAACCUUGUGGAAAUAAAAUGGACCUCUUGGAUGGAGUACAGCAAAAAGACCUUGCAGAUUUCUUCCAUCCAUGCAGCUGCCUCUGUUCUUUGGAGCAGUCUCUGCUGCAUUCUGUUAACUGCCUUUACUUUUGGGAAGGGAGGUGAGUAAACUUUUAUGGCUGCUGAGUUCAAAACGCAAUGCAUUUGGAGGAGCUGCCUCUGACUCUGUGGUCUUCAGUUGGAGGGUAGAGACAUUACAAACAUAUAAAGUCUGUCCUUAUUUUUUUUCCUGUGUAAUAUUGGAGGUUAUGACUGUGCAAUCUACUUCCAGAAGAGGAGGAGAAGAGUGUCUUCCUGGCACUUAAGACAACUGGAAAUAAAAUCACACACACAUCUA
Heteronotia binoei (common prickly gecko) is the source of this 861-nucleotide long non-coding RNA. RefSeq lists it as uncharacterized. Lineage: Eukaryota; Metazoa; Chordata; Lepidosauria; Squamata; Gekkonidae. The record is from RefSeq and is a predicted model, not a curated record. The transcript has 4 exons.